UACGUAGGCUGCAAGCGUUAUCCGGAAUGACUGGGCGUAAAGCGUUCAACGGUGGUUUUGUUCGUUCCGCGUUUAAUCUCCAGGCUCAACUUGGAGGCUGCGCGGAAGACAGCAAGGCUCGAGUCCUACAGGGGUCAGCGGAAUUGGCGGUGUAGCAGUGAAAUGCGUUGAUAUCGCCAAGAACACCGAUGGCGAAGGCAGCUGACUAGGUAGGUACUGACACUCAAGAACGAAAGCGUGGGGAGCGAAC
Molecule: ribosomal RNA, 250 nt
Filed under: uncultured bacterium
Lineage: Bacteria
Description: partial 16S ribosomal RNA
Rfam family: Bacterial small subunit ribosomal RNA
Source: RNAcentral